This 254-nucleotide ribosomal RNA is filed under the name uncultured bacterium. RNAcentral's name for it is "partial 16S ribosomal RNA". It matches the Rfam family "Bacterial small subunit ribosomal RNA", at positions 524 to 776 of the family's 1533-position model. The record is from RNAcentral.
UACGUAGGGUGCGAGCGUUGUCCGGAAUUAUUGGGCGUAAAGAGCUCGUAGGCGGUCUGUCGCGUCGAUCGUGAAAACUUGGGGCUUAACCCUGAGCUUGCGGUCGAUACGGGCAUGACUGGAGUUCGGCAGGGGAGACUGGAAUUCCUGGUGUAGCGGUGAAAUGCGCAGAUAUCAGGAGGAACACCGGUGGCGAAGGCGGGUCUCUGGGCCGAUACUGACGCUGAGGCACGAAGGCCAGGGGAGCAAACGGG